AAAUUUAUGAAUAUUUCCCCUAGAAAUUUGCAGGUAUUCUCGCUCAAUAUUACGAUUAGAAUUAUUUGAAAAGUUAUUGGGGGAAAAUACACAAUCAAUCGCAAGAAAAUUCUGUUUUAUUGGAGGUGAUUUGGUUAUUUCAGAGUAUUUAUGCGGCAUUUUUUCCUCAACUCGGCAGCAUUGGAUGGAAAGUAAAAGUGGAACAACGCGAUGCCGCUCUUGACUUGGUCGUUCGAGGCGCGGUCGAGUCUUGGCGUUGUGAGGCGUCUUUGACCAGGAUGCAUCGGAAACCCGAUAUUAAUGAAAAUGAACGAAUCGGAAUGCCACUAUUUCCGUGCACCAAAGAACGGAGGAUUUAUUCACGAUCCGGUCGGGGGCUCGAUGGAAAUCAUGGGACGACUCAUUUCCGAGAAGAAAUGUCUGAUGCCGAUUCGCAUUGCGCAAGUCUUUUAUUUUGACCACCAGGAUGACGCAAGGAUCGAUGGCGCACUGUGACUUUGCACCUCACCACACUCGCAGAUUAUGAAGAAACGAUUCAAUUCUCGAAAAAUCCUUAAUUUAACUCCGGUUUUUGUGUGGUCGCUAAGCCAGGGGCCAUUUUUACUCGGCAGAAUUGAUAAGCCCUGGUUGAAGGCAGGUGAGGCGUGAGAAGAAAUCGUGUCCGCGGCUGAUAUCUCGCGUGCGGCGCGGCGUGGAAGUGUCGGAGUGACCGAAAGACUCUGGCAGUUGAAAUCGGUAUAAACAACAAGCGAGGCCCCAUUGUUGCACUGUAGGUCAGUAUACCAAACCUUGGCCGAAUCAACUAACAAGAUGCUCUUUGCGUUCGCUGCGAUCCGAGCACGUCGAGAGAAAGGCUUUCACUUUAGAUUCAGGCCUCUAGAUUUAAGUUGGAGGCGUGUAUUUUACCACCAAGUUGUGCCAGUAUAGGGUU
Molecule: long non-coding RNA, 931 nt
Filed under: Bemisia tabaci
Lineage: Eukaryota; Metazoa; Arthropoda; Insecta; Hemiptera; Aleyrodidae
Description: lncRNA ENSSSA1UGG005662
Source: RNAcentral